UGUGGGGUGCUCGAGUGGCGAACGGGUGAGUAACACGUGAGUAACCUGCCCUUGACUUUGGGAUAACUUCAGGAAACUGGGGCUAAUACCGGAUAGGAGCUCCUGCUGCAUGGUGGGGGUUGGAAAGUUUCGGCGGUUGGGGAUGGACUCGCGGCUUAUCAGCUUGUUGGCGGGGUAGUGGCUUACCAAGGCUUUGACGGGUAGCCGGCCUGAGAGGGUGACCGGCCACAUUGGGACUGAGAUACGGCCCAG
Molecule: ribosomal RNA, 252 nt
Filed under: uncultured Actinomycetales bacterium
Lineage: Bacteria; Bacillati; Actinomycetota; Actinomycetes; Actinomycetales
Description: partial 16S ribosomal RNA
Rfam family: Bacterial small subunit ribosomal RNA
Source: RNAcentral